GUAAUUCUGCUUUCGGGCAGAAACGACCGGCGCACGGGUGCGUAACGCGUAUGCAACCUACCCACAACUGGGGGAUAGCCCGGAGAAAUCCGGAUUAAUACCCCAUAAUGCAGGGGUACUGCAUGGUACUAUUUGCUAAAGAUUUAUCGGUUGUGGAUGGGCAUGCGUCUGAUUAGUUAGUUGGUGAGGUAACGGCUCACCAAGGCGACGAUCAGUAGGGGGUCUGAGAGGAUGAUCCCCCACACUGGUACUGAGAUACGGACCAGACUCCUACGGGAGGCAGCAGUAGGGAAUAUUGGUCAAUGGGCGCAAGCCUGAACCAGCCAUGCCGCGUGCAGGAUGACGGCCUUCUGGGUUGUAAACUGCUUUUAUCAGGGAAGAAAACGGUCAUGCGUGACAGAUUGACGGUACCUGAAGAAUAAGCACCGGCUAACUCCGUGCCAGCAGCCGCGGUAAUACGGAGGGUGCAAGCGUUGUCCGGAUUUAUUGGGUUUAAAGGGUGCGUAGGCGGAUUAUUAAGUCAGUGGUGAAAGUUUGCGGCUCAACCGUAAAAGUGCCAUUGAUACUGGUAGUCUUGAGUACAGUAGAGGUAGGCGGAAUUUAUGGUGUAGCGGUGAAAUGCAUAGAUACCAUAAAGAACACCGAUAGCGAAGGCAGCUUACUAUGCUGUAACUGACGCUGAGGCACGAAAGCGUGGGGAGCGAACAGGAUUAGAUACCCUGGUAGUCCACGCUGUAAACGAUGAAGACUCGCUGUUGGCGAUACACAGUCAGUGGCCAAGCGAAAGCGUUAAGUCUUCCA
RNAcentral lists this ribosomal RNA (801 nucleotides) under uncultured bacterium. RNAcentral's name for it is "bacterial SSU rRNA". It matches the Rfam family "Bacterial small subunit ribosomal RNA", at positions 68 to 871 of the family's 1533-position model. The record is from RNAcentral.